GAUGAACGCUGGCGGCGUGCCUAAUACAUGCAAGUCGAGCGAACAGACGAGGAGCUUGCUCCUCUGACGUUAGCGGCGGACGGGUGAGUAACACGUGGAUAACCUACCUAUAAGACUGGGAUAACUUCGGGAAACCGGAGCUAAUACCGGAUAAUAUAUUGAACCGCAUGGUUCAAUAGUGAAAGACGGUUUUGCUGUCACUUAUAGAUGGAUCCGCGCCGCAUUAGCUAGUUGGUAAGGUAACGGCUUACCAAGGCAACGAUGCGUAGCCGACCUGAGAGGGUGAUCGGCCACACUGGAACUGAGACAAGGUCCAGACUCCUACGGGAGGCAGCAGUAGGGAAUCUUCCGCAAUGGGCGAAAGCCUGACGGAGCAACGCCGCGUGAGUGAUGAAGGUCUUCGGAUCGUAAAACUCUGUUAUUAGGGAAGAAAAAAUGUGUAAGUAACUAUGCACGUCUUGACGGUACCUAAUCAGAAAGCCACGGCUAACUACGUG
RNAcentral lists this ribosomal RNA (497 nucleotides) under uncultured bacterium. Its description in RNAcentral is "partial 16S ribosomal RNA". It matches the Rfam family "Bacterial small subunit ribosomal RNA", at positions 28 to 507 of the family's 1533-position model. The record is from RNAcentral.